Molecule: ribosomal RNA, 737 nt
Filed under: uncultured bacterium
Lineage: Bacteria
Description: bacterial SSU rRNA
Rfam family: Bacterial small subunit ribosomal RNA
Source: RNAcentral
CUAUCGCAUGACCCUGCUUAAGAUUAACUGGUUGGUGAGGUAAAAACUCACCAAGGCGACGAUCUUUAGCUGGUCUGACAGGAUGAUCAGCCACACUGGAACUGAAACACCGUCCAGACUCCUACGGGAGGCAACAUUGGGGAAUAUUGGACAAUGGGCGCAAGCCUGAUUCAGCGAUACCGCAUGUGUGUAGAAUGCCUAACGGUUGUAAAGCACUUUCAAUUACGAAUAAAAACUAAUGGUUAAUACCCACUUAGUCUUGACGUUACUUUUAGAAGAAGCACCGGCUAACUCCCUGCCAACUACCGCGGUAGUACGGAUGGUGCAAGCGUUAAUCGGAAUUACUGGGCGUAAAGCGUGCAUAGGUGGUUUGUUAAGUCAGAUGUGAAAGCCCCGGGCUCAACCUAGGAACUGCAUUUGAAACUGGCAAACUAGAGUAUAAGAAAUGAAAGUGGAAUUUCUGGUGUAGCGGUGAAAUGCGUAAAUAUUAGAAGGAACAUCAAUGGAGAAGGCAUCUUUCUGGACUAAUACUGACACUGAUGUACAACAGCGUGGAUAGCAAACCCGAUUAGAUACCCUGGUAGUCCACGCCGUAUACGAUGAUAACUAAUCCUUGAGGGGGUUACCCUUUAUUGGUGAACCUAACGCGUUAAAUGCUCCCCCUGGUGAGUACUGCCGCAAGGUUAAAACUCAAACGAAUUGACUGGAACCCGCGCUAUCGGUGGAGCAUGUGCGUU